RNAcentral lists this ribosomal RNA (500 nucleotides) under uncultured bacterium. Its description in RNAcentral is "partial 16S ribosomal RNA". It matches the Rfam family "Bacterial small subunit ribosomal RNA", at positions 28 to 523 of the family's 1533-position model. The record is from RNAcentral.
GAUGAACGCUAGCGAUAGGCUUAACACAUGCAAGUCGAGGGGCAUCAGGGUCUUCGGACCGCUGGCGACCGGCGCACGGGUGAGUAGCGCGUAUGCAACCUCCCCAUAACUUUGGGAUAGCCCGUUGAAAGACGGAUUAAUACCGAAUAACACAGGGGCACCGCAUGGUGAUAUUUGUUAAAGAUUUAUUGGUUAUGGAUGGGCAUGCGUUGGAUUUGCUAGUUGGUUGGGGUAACGGCUCACCAAGGCAACGAUCCAUAGGGGAACUGAGAGGUUUAUCCCCCACACUGGUACUGGGACACGGUCCAGACGCCUACGGGAGGCAGCAGUGAGGAGUAUUGGUCAAUGGGCGAGAGCCUGAACCAGCCAAAUCGCGUGAAGGAUGACUGUAUUAUGUAUUGUAAACUUCUUUUAUGUGGGAAUAAAAAAGGUGACGCGUCCCUUAUUGCAUGUACCACAUGAAUAAGCAUCGGCUAACUCCGUGCCAGCCGCCGCCGUAA